GAGAUUGCGAAGGAGACAUCUAAGCUGGGUAGUUUUAGGAGUAGACUGAGAGGCUCUCAUAGCGAAUGGAGCGUGGUGGGCGGGGGUGGGUGGUAGAGGAAGAGACUUCUGGUGGUGACAAGGACGACGGGAGAGCUUGCCCGGAAUAGAGGAGGUAACCGCCGUGUCGGGCGUCCCUGAAAUGGAGGGACCAGAGAGAGGCCCGGAGGCCAGAGGAAGCCCUUGGCCCAGCGCUGGGGUUUUCGGAAACGGAGAGACGGACGGGUUCCGGGGAAGGGCAACAGUCUCUUUUUACUCACCCUGGCGGAGGUUUUGAUGGUGGAUGAGGUCGCCAGCAAAGGGAGAACCUAGGAGAUUCUCUGGGUCUUCGGCAGGUUGGGGAAAGGUCUUACUCUGAGAACCAGGCUGCAGUGCAGUGGCAUGAUCACGGAUCACUACAGCCUCAAACUCUCAGGCUCUGGAGACUCUCCCCUCAGCCUCCCAAGUAGCUGGGACCACAGGCACCUACUACCAUGCCCAGGACUCAUGUGAUUAUACUGAACUGACCCAGAUAACCCAGGAUAAUUCACAUCUCAAGACCCUUAAACUUGAUGACGUCUGCAAAGUCCCUUUUGCCAUAAGGUUAUAUUGGCAUAUGGUCCAGGAAUUAGUGCAGAGCCACAAUCUCAGAAAGAAAAUGAGAGUGGAUAAUGAAGACAGAUCAUCUGGGUGUAAACCUGAGGAUAUUCCAGAAUAUAGAGGUUAGAGAGAUAAGAAAGAAACUAGCAAGGAAACUAAGGAGCAGCCUCUAAGUAGAAGGAAAAGAAUGGUGAGUUGUAAUUGGAGGUGAAGACAGUUUCAAGGGAGGGUAUGUUAAUUGCUGCUGACACAUCAAGGAAGAUGAGGACUGAGCAUUGACCAUUGGAUUUAGCAACAUGGAGUUUUCUGCUGACCUGGACCUGAGCAGUUUUAAUGGAGUGGUGGGGGCAAUGCAUGACAGAAGAGAAUUCAAGACAGAAGGGACUUUUCCAAAAAAAAAAGGUAUACAAAUGGUUAUUGUGCAACGUGGAAAGAUGUUCACCAAUAUUAGUCAUUUAGGAAAUGAAAAUCAAAAGCACAAUGAGUUACCAGUUCACACUCACUCAGAAGGCAAUAAUCAAAGAAAUGGACAAUAGCAAGGGUUGGGAAGGAUAUGGAGAUAUUCUCCCACAUUGCUGGUGGAAUGUAAAAAUGGUGAAGGUGAAGGUGGAAAAACGGAAAUGAAGUAUUGAGAGGGAGAUGGAAUAUAAGAAGCUUUCUGACAGAUAACCCAAUGGAACAAACUGACUGACUGGGCAUCUGAAAUGAGUAAGAAGGAGUCAAAAAUGAGCAAAAUUAUGCUUCUCUGUGGAUGCAAAUCAUAUCUCCAUUACUUACACCCAGGAGAACUUGUAUGAAGUAGUUAACUUCUCUGGAUUUUAGCUUUUUCAUGUGUACAAUGGGGGGUUUAUGCCUCAUAGAGUUGUAGAAACUGCAAAUGAGAGACUUAUGAAAAGCCUACUGAAUGACCUUAUGAAUAAUAAUAUCAUCAGUGGAAGGUGAUUUGAGGAUGUGAUGCUGUUAUCCCUGACAUGGGCAGGAGGGAACUUGGACAAAGACCAAGGAAGAAAAUAUCUCUUCUCUGAAUGUCUUGUCUGCAUUUGAGUGCAAUGUCCUUUAUUCCGUGUCUUCCACCCAAUCAGGGCCCUACUGCCACUUAAGGGGUAAUUUCUCUUUCAAUCAUUAGUUGUUCCAGCACCAAGAAGCUUAGCCUCAGUUGAGGCACCUGAGUCAGGAGGCCAGGAUCCUUGGGAGAUUGACAACAGGAGGAUAAUCCCAUCAGAAUACUCCAGGAUUCCAACAGUAUCUUAGUCUAUUUAGCUACUAUAAUAAAAUACCUUAGAUGUAUAAAUCACUGGGCAAUUUGUAUAUAAUAGAAAUUUAUUUCUCACAGUCUGGAGGCUGAGAAGUCCAAUAUCAAGGCACCAGUGGAUUCAGGAUCUGGUAAGGCAGAUUCAGGGUCUCUUCAUCUCACCUUCAGCUCCAUAGAUGGCAUCUUAUUGUGACAUCAUCACAUAGCAGAGGGGGAAACACUGCACUCAGUGGUGAAAGGGGAGAACAGUAUGUCCUCACAUGAUGGAACGUGGGAACACCAUGUCCUUACAUUAUGGAAGCAGGCAACACUGCGUCCUCACAUGGUGGAAGGGGCAAUACUGUGUCCUCACAUGAUGGAAAGCAGGAACACCGUGUCCUCACAUGGUGGAAGGGGAAAUACUGUGUCCUCACAUGAUGGAAAGUGGGAACACUGUGUCCUCACAUGGUGGAAGGGGCAAUACUGUGUCCUCACAUGGUGGAAGGGGCAAUACUCUGUCAUUACAUAGUGGAAGCAGGGAACACUAUGUCCUUACAUAAUGGAAGGAGAAACACCAUGUCCUCAUAUGUUGGAAGUGGGGAACACCAUGUCCUCAUAUGGAGAAAGGGGGUAAGACUAUGUCCUCACAUGGUGGAAGGGAGCAACACUGUGUCCUCACAUGGUGAAAGGCAGGAACAUCAUGUCCUUAUAUGGUGGAAGGGGGAAACACAAUGUCUUCACAUGAUCCAAGGCAGGAACACUGUGUCCUCACAUGGUGGAAGUGGGGAACACUGUAUUCUCACAUGGUGGAAGGAGGAACACUGUGCCCUCACAUGGUUGAAGUGACAGAAGGGCAAAAGGGGUGACACUGUCCUCAAGCCAUUUUAUGAGUACCAAUCCCAUUCUUGGGACCUAAUUACCUCCUAAAACCCGGCUCUUCUUCAUGCUUUUGCAUUGGGGAUUAAGUUCCAACAUGAAACAUCCAAACCAUAGCAACGGUCUUCAGUGACCAUUGUCAUGAGGGGAAAAGAUAGGAGCUUUGGAAUCAUCCAGUGUUGGAUCUAAGGCUUUGCUCUGCCACCAACUAGUUUUGAAUACUGUUGACCUAUACCAACUAUAGUAGGUUCUUAUAACAAUUAAAAGGAAUAUCAGAGUAAAAUGUGUAUUUAUAAUGUAAUGUUUUCAACAGAAGAAAAUAUAAAUAAAAAUUUAUUGGGUCCUUUGAAUGCAGAGGAAUUUUAAGUUUGAUAUCAUUGGAAGAAAUCAUAAACAAGAAGAGUAAAACAUUUAGUAUUUUAAAAUUAAAAAUGUAUUUAAAGAAGAAUUAAAAAGAAUAAUAUGU
RNAcentral lists this long non-coding RNA (3191 nucleotides) under Homo sapiens (human). Its description in RNAcentral is "HSALNT0296029". Lineage: Eukaryota; Metazoa; Chordata; Mammalia; Primates; Hominidae. The record is from RNAcentral.